This 393-nucleotide ribosomal RNA is filed under the name uncultured bacterium. RNAcentral's name for it is "bacterial SSU rRNA". It matches the Rfam family "Bacterial small subunit ribosomal RNA", at positions 28 to 419 of the family's 1533-position model. The record is from RNAcentral.
GACGAACGCUGGCGGCGUGCUUAACACAUGCAAGUCGAGCGGUAAGGCCCUUUCGGGGGUACGACGAGCGGCGAACGGGUGAGUAACACGUGGGUGACCUGCCCUCAGCUCUGGGAUAAAGCCUGGGAAACCGGGUCUAAUACCGGAUAUGACUCCAUGACGCAUGUUGUGGGGUGGAAAGCCUUGUGCGGCUGAGGAUGGGCCCGCGGCCUAUCAGCUUGUUGGUGGGGUGAUGGCCUACCAAGGCGACGACGGGUAGCCGGCCUGAGAGGGCGACCGGCCACACUGGGACUGAGACACGGCCCAGACUCCUACGGGAGGCAGCAGUGGGGAAUCUUGCGCAAUGGGCGAAAGACCUGACGCAGCGACGCCGCGUGAGGGAUGACGGCCUCG